This 464-nucleotide ribosomal RNA is filed under the name uncultured bacterium. Its description in RNAcentral is "partial 16S ribosomal RNA". It matches the Rfam family "Bacterial small subunit ribosomal RNA", at positions 338 to 795 of the family's 1533-position model. The record is from RNAcentral.
CCUACGUGUGGCAGCAGUGGGGAAUCUUCCGCAAUGGGCGAAAGCCUGACGGAGCAACGCCGCGUGAUCGAAUGAAGGCCUUCGGGUUGUAAAGAUCUGUUGACAGGGACGAAUAAGCAAUGCAAAUAGUUUUGUGUAUGACGGUACCUGUUUAGAAAGCUCCGGCUAACUACGUGCAAGCAGCCGCGGUAAUACGUGGGGAGCAAGCGUUGUCCGGAAUUACUGGGCGUAAAGGGCUCGCGGGUUGGCGCUUAAGUCAGGUGUGAAAACACCGGGCUCAAACUGGGGUCUGCACUUGAAACUGGGUGUCUUGAGGGGAGGAGAGGAAUGUGGAAUUCCUAGUGUAGCGGUGAAAUGCGUAGAUAUUAGGAGGAACACCAGUGGCGAAGGCGACUUUCUGGACGGUACCUGACGCUGAGGCGCGAAAGCGUGGGUAGCGAACGGGAUUAGAUACCCCAGUAGUC